UAGAAAGUGGUGUAGUGGAAGCACCUAGAGUUUUGAUCUCUAAAGGAUGGGUUCAAGUCCCCUUUUUCUAA
RNAcentral lists this transfer RNA (71 nucleotides) under Sundasalanx mekongensis. RNAcentral describes it as "tRNA-Gln". It matches the Rfam family "tRNA". Rfam says of the family: Transfer RNA (tRNA) molecules are approximately 80 nucleotides in length. Their secondary structure includes four short double-helical elements and three loops (D, anti-codon, and T loops). Lineage: Eukaryota; Metazoa; Chordata; Actinopteri; Clupeiformes; Clupeidae. The record is from RNAcentral.